RNAcentral lists this non-coding RNA (24 nucleotides) under Arabidopsis thaliana (thale cress). Lineage: Eukaryota; Viridiplantae; Streptophyta; Magnoliopsida; Brassicales; Brassicaceae. The record is from RNAcentral.
UGUCGGUGAUGAUGUCCAGUGCAU